Cydia fagiglandana is the source of this 640-nucleotide long non-coding RNA. RefSeq lists it as uncharacterized. The record is from RefSeq and is a predicted model, not a curated record. NCBI's taxonomy places the organism in Eukaryota, Metazoa, Arthropoda, Insecta, Lepidoptera, Tortricidae. The transcript has 3 exons.
UGUAAUUACUUAAUAUAACGCAAUUGUUUUUUGUAUGGAAAGCGAACCACCUUAACUAUUCGCACAACGUUUUGUAGUUGCAGUAAGUACUUACAUAUGGCCGGUUAAAUUUUCGAAAUAGGUAUGUAUUUACGUACAGUGCUAAUUGCCGCACAUAGAAUAAUUAAAGUUUGAUCAAUCGGAAUAUGUUCCUAAGUCACUUAUUACAUUUCGAAUUAUAAGUCUGUAUUUUACAGCUUUAGAUGUGCAUGACUGCAUAUGCACAUCUAAAGCUGAAAAAUGCUUUCAUGAAAUUAUGGCUAAAUUAUGUUAAUAGGGACAAAUGUAUCAUUUUCAACCAAAUGGGUUCUUAUUAUCUGUUGUCAAUAAGGCGCUAUUUCCAUAAAGCUUCAAUUUGAAAUCAGCCUCGUCGACAACCGACAAUGUUAACCUUUUGGUUGAAAACGUCACAAAUUAUGGCGAUAGAGAAUACAAUGUUCUGUUGCCAGAGUGCAGCACUAGGCCCAUCGUAAACCAUAGAGUAACUUAUACAUACUGUGCCUUAAACUGUUUUUAGGGUUCCGUACCCAAAAGGUAAAACGGGACCCUAUUACUAAGACUUCGCUGUCCGUCCGUCCGUCUGUCUGUCUGCUGUAUCUCA